RNAcentral lists this long non-coding RNA (225 nucleotides) under Salvia miltiorrhiza (redroot sage). RNAcentral's name for it is "long non-coding RNA (SMIL_LNC014371)". Lineage: Eukaryota; Viridiplantae; Streptophyta; Magnoliopsida; Lamiales; Lamiaceae. The record is from RNAcentral.
CUAGUCUGUACUCCCGCCCGGCCGCCCCCCACUCCAGAAAUCGUUCCCGUCUCCGGCGACCCAGCGGCGCCCCUCGCCCGCCCGCCGUUCUCCUCGGCCGUCGCCAGUGGGAAGCUCACUCCCAGUCCCACCGCGACCCUCGCCCAGUCGCUCCGCCUCCGAGCUCCGACGACAGGUGAGCGGCGACCCAGCGGCGCCCCUCGCCGCCCGUCAUCGCCCAGACCA